RNAcentral lists this microRNA (20 nucleotides) under Alligator mississippiensis (American alligator). RNAcentral describes it as "ami-miR-125b-2-3p". Its record names the gene ami-miR-125b-2-3p. The record is from miRBase by way of RNAcentral. Lineage: Eukaryota; Metazoa; Chordata; Crocodylia; Alligatoridae.
ACAAGUCAGGCUCUUGGGAC